GUUCUACGGUCUAACUCCACAUUUCAGUGCAACAAAUUUUUUGCGCUUUGCACAUGCUUUCAGGAACUCAUUUCACAUGUAUAUUAUGUACUGAGAAGCAAAUCAUGUAAUUUGCUUUACAGGAUCUUUAAACACUGUUGAACAAUGAUUUCAGAAUGAUACAAACCCACGUUUUACUUAUGGUAGUUUGUGAAAUCAAAUUUUUUGGCUGAUGCUACAUAAAAUAUGCCUCCAUUACCCCAAUAGAAUGAUCAUAGCUACAUAAAUCAUGUACAAUUGCAAAAACAAACCUAAAUCCAUGCCUCUUUCCUCCAUUUUCCCCAAUACAAAAACCAUGUUAAAAAGUCAUUAUUGGUUAAUUGUAGGCUAUUUAUUAACAAUUCUUAAUAACAAUGUUAAAAAAAAGUCUACGUAGAUUAGUUUAGUUUAGUGGGCCUAUGGUUUUUCUAAUCAAUGAAUUAAAGGUCUCUAAAAAACGACCUCAACCUAUGUAUUGUUCUGUCAAUCAUGGCGUGUCAUUUUGAUGAGGUGGUGGAUGCGGGAGCUGUCAUAGUACGCACCUUAAAGAGAAAGUUAUUUCGGGGAGAAGGCAUGUGCCAUGGUGGAUCGAUAUGAUUUUCUACCUCUCGGGUUGCUUAAGAAUAUGGUGCACCCACAAUAAUCUUGACUACCUGAAUCUGACUCAAAUUAGUCGGAUUGCGUGAACUAGAAUUGGCCUUUAUGGAACCGCUUUAGCCCCGACUGACUUGUUAGGUUAAUUCAAAUCAGGAUUGGGAAUCUAAUCCCAUCUUGUUUGAGCGGCCUAUAUGGAACAGGCCCCUGGAAGAUAGUGGAGCUGAAGAAACACCAUAUUGUAAACAGUUUGAUCAUAAAUACACAAUAAUUAGUUAAUUUUUAUCCAGGUAUUUUACACGAUAACAGUGCUCAUUACUACGUUUGCAUGUUUUGAUUAAUAGCAAAAUAUAUUUUUAAUUAGUUAAUGCUUGACACAAGUCAGUUUUUAAAAAUUCUCAAUGGAUCAGAGAUCUUUCAAGAUCUCUCUUUGCUAUACAUUGGGUUGCUUUGAUUGUGUAUACUUAUUUUUUGCUUUUGUAUCAUUUGAUGCAUGUAAAAGUGUUGGUAUAAAAAUAUGUAAGAUAAUUUGAUUUGUCUUUCA
Molecule: long non-coding RNA, 1156 nt
Organism: Osmerus eperlanus (European smelt)
Lineage: Eukaryota; Metazoa; Chordata; Actinopteri; Osmeriformes; Osmeridae
Exons: 2
Source: RefSeq, a predicted model, not a curated record